Molecule: non-coding RNA, 559 nt
Organism: Dermatophagoides farinae (American house dust mite)
Lineage: Eukaryota; Metazoa; Arthropoda; Arachnida; Sarcoptiformes; Pyroglyphidae
Source: RefSeq, a predicted model, not a curated record
GGUUUUUUGUUUUCAUCUGUCAUUUUCAAGUGUUCAUUAAGUGUUUGCUUUAAAACAGGUAAAAUUAUGAUGUAUAAAUACAAUAUAUACCAUCUUAAGUUCUAUUUGUGCUGUCAUUGAGCAAAAGAAUUAUUAGUUAGUUAAAAGUGACAAUUCUUAUUACCAAAUUACAAAUGUUUUAAACAUUAUCGUUAUUCAUUAUUCACCACACAGUGUCAUAAAUUACUGUGUUUGGUCAACAUUAUCAUCAUAUUGGUAUUGUUAAUCAAUGUUCAUACAAGCCAUCAAGCUCCAAUACAAUCAGAAUCUAAAUCCAUAAUAAAUUCUGAAACCAGUAUAAUAAAAUUCGAUAGUAUGGAUGAUUUGAAAAAAUAUUGCCAUUAUAUUUGCUGGAAACAUCCAUCAUAUGGUGGUGAAAUUUGUCAUUGUGAUUCGUCACCAAUGAUAAAAGCUCACCAUUCGUUAAACUGAAUCCCAAUAAUUAAAUGAUGUUCUACAACAGACUGCAUAAUACAUACACAAGAUGAAUGAAAUUGAUUUGUUUUCAUCAUCAUUUAUU